This 1785-nucleotide ribosomal RNA is filed under the name Triticum aestivum (bread wheat). Its description in RNAcentral is "partial small subunit ribosomal RNA". The record is from RNAcentral. Lineage: Eukaryota; Viridiplantae; Streptophyta; Magnoliopsida; Poales; Poaceae.
AGGGUUUCGGGCGCCUCCCGUGUUCUUGCCCCCCUCUCUCUCGCGCGACCUCUCUGCCCCUGCCUCCGGUCUACCUCGCCGCCGCUGCCGCCAGAGGUAGCUCCCCCUCCCUUCCUUCCCCUUCCUCCUCCGCCCGCCCUUCUCUCUCCUGCUUCCUCCCGGCGGCCGAUGAUGGGCGCAGACGAGGAGGAGCACCAGUCCCCCUCGUGGAAGCGCGAGCGCGAGGAGGAGGAGGAGCCCGCGGCCGCCGACAAGAAGCGCCGGCGCACGGCGGACGAGUCGGAGGGCGCCUCGCUGAUGGGGCUUGCCAACUACGCGGACGAGGAGGAGGAGGAGCGCGGGGCCCCGAGGGGGCACGGGAACGGCGGGCCCUGGGAGGAGGAGGAAGACGAUGAGGAUGAGGAGGAGGACGAGAGGAGGGCUCCGGAGAGGCGGCCCAGGCAGGUCGAGCUGCCCCUACCUCGACACUGUCAACCGACUAGCUUCGAUCUACCAUGUCCUUAGCGGCAGCAACAGAAUGUCUGAAGAAGCAUCUGCCAGUAUCAGUGCCAGAGGGACUGAACGAACUUCAAAUCAUCGUUGUGCGAUUCAAAGAGAAGAUUUAUACUACAGCGACCAGUCAGGUAAUUUAAUCCGUCUUGGCGGCUACUCGAAGCAGAGCACAGUUUAUUUUAUUUUUAGUUAUGGGGGUCAAACAAGGUUUAUGGGCUAAUAAUAGAGCAGAACUGUCUCCAAAUGUUGUAGAGGAUACUUUUUAAGUCAUGUUUAGUACCAUGUAUAACUAUGAUUCAAAUGUUAAAAGCUGAAGCACCUGCUCGAGCAUGCUAAAUUGCUAAUCAGCCAGAACUAUUGGUUGCAAGCCACCAUUAGUAAUUUGGUCCCAGGCGGUGGUCAUUGCGAUGACACACAUCAGCCCAGAUGAUGUGCUUUACACUUACAACUCGUGCUGACUGAAUCGGAGCAAGCCUCCUGCCAGUUCCACCAUGUAACACUCUGCAGGUUGUCGAAAUAAGAUAGUGCUCUGUAGUGCAUUCCGAUUCAGCUGGGUACCCAGGAGCCCCACCAAUCUGCAGUAAUUAUUCAUCCCAUUGUCGGCAAUUACAAGAUGGGACCCAACUUCAAGAGAGGCCAAAUGGUUUCUCCAUACGGCGGAAUAUCACGAGUACAGAGUAUAUACACAUGUGCAAAGCUCAGGCAGAAUCAGUGGCUGGGACUGGGAGAUGAUCGUCGUUCCAAGUAGCCUCUUGGAUGGUCGUCGGUUCUGGUGGUGAUGCCGAUGAUCGUCCAGAGGUUCGUGGACUGGACGGUGUCAUGGCUGCUGAUGUACGGAGAGGCGAAGCUGCUGCUCGUCAUCUACCUCUGGCACCCCAGCACACGGGGUGCGGGGCACGUGUACGAUGGCUUCCUCCAUCCGCUGGUGGCGUGGCACGAGGCCGACAUCGACCGGGGCCUGCUUGAGCUGAGGGCGAGGGACGUGACAGCGUCACAACUCAAGGCGGUGGCUGCCAUCGGUCAAGUGUGGCUCGUCGAGGCUGCCCGCUGUGUUCCGUCGCAGCUACAGGCCACGAGAUCAGGCCGUGAAGGCGCCACGCAUUGACGAGUUAGCCGAUUUUUGGAUCGGACCGUAACAACGUGUCUCAGUCGAGAAGUAGUGGUAAAGUUUUGAAUUUGCAUGGCAAGAACCACUUGCGUAUGUAGCUGACAUGCACAACACUGUGUUUACAGUCGUACUUAUGUAAAAGAUAUGUUCAAUGAGGAACUGUGAUAGUAGAUACGACAAUUGUG